This 75-nucleotide transfer RNA is filed under the name Acidimicrobiales bacterium. RNAcentral's name for it is "tRNA-Gln". It matches the Rfam family "tRNA". Rfam says of the family: Transfer RNA (tRNA) molecules are approximately 80 nucleotides in length. Their secondary structure includes four short double-helical elements and three loops (D, anti-codon, and T loops). Lineage: Bacteria; Bacillati; Actinomycetota; Acidimicrobiia; Acidimicrobiales. The record is from RNAcentral.
UCGGGGAUGGUGUAAUUGGUAACACAGCUGUUUCUGGUACAGCCAUUGGGGGUUCAAGUCCUCCUCCCCGAACUA